This is a long non-coding RNA of Cryptomeria japonica (Japanese cedar), 246 nucleotides long. RefSeq lists it as uncharacterized. The transcript has 3 exons. The record is from RefSeq and is a predicted model, not a curated record. NCBI's taxonomy places the organism in Eukaryota, Viridiplantae, Streptophyta, Pinopsida, Cupressales, Cupressaceae.
UGCAGGGUGCAUCAGGUGGUGGGAGUACACCACAUACUAUUCAGUUGACUCCACGGUCAUGAGUAGUUUCGCCACCAGAGUUUACCCCACCUGCCUCGAGGACAUCUCGUGUGAGAAAGCCAUCCUCUAGCACUCCGAGGCAGAAAAAGAUAUCCUCUCAGACACCCAAACGAUAGAAGAAACAUAUGGGGUUUACGGAAUUAAUGAAUGCACCUGAUGUCGAUGAGGUUCAGUAGAGGGAAGAGG